Molecule: long non-coding RNA, 236 nt
Filed under: Gossypium raimondii (Peruvian cotton)
Lineage: Eukaryota; Viridiplantae; Streptophyta; Magnoliopsida; Malvales; Malvaceae
Description: long non-coding RNA (GRAI_LNC007981)
Source: RNAcentral
GAGCGGCGCAUAGAGAAAUCAUUAGGGUUCUUUAAAGUUUUUUUAGAAAAUGAUGGAAGGCUGUUAGUUUAGAUUUUAUAUUAGGUUAUAUAUUGUGAAGAAAACGGCACCGUUUUAAGCAUGCUUCAGUAGCUUUAAAAAUGAUGCCGUUUAGAAGCUUAGACCCGCGCGGUGACCCGACCCGAGGGCAAGAUCCGAGCUUUUUGGUUUAUUGGUCUAUUUGCGCAACAAGUCCC